This 758-nucleotide ribosomal RNA is filed under the name uncultured bacterium. RNAcentral describes it as "bacterial SSU rRNA". It matches the Rfam family "Bacterial small subunit ribosomal RNA", at positions 8 to 797 of the family's 1533-position model. The record is from RNAcentral.
AGAGUUUGAUCCUGGCUCAGGACGAACGCUGGCGGCGUGCUUAACACAUGCAAGUCGAGCGACGCACCACUUCGGUGGUGACGGAGCGGCGAACGGGUGAGUAACACGUGGGCAACCUGCCCUCAGCUCUGGGACAACUCCGGGAAACCGGGGCUAAUACCGGAUACGACCUCGUAGGGCAUCACACGAGGUGGAAAGUUCUUCGGCUGAGGAUGGGCCCGCGGCCUAUCAGCUUGUUGGUGGGGUAACGGCCCACCAAGGCGACGACGGGUAGCCGGCCUGAGAGGGCGACCGGCCACACUGGGACUGAGACACGGCCCAGACUCCUACGGGAGGCAGCAGUGGGGAAUAUUGCGCAAUGGGCGAAAGCCUGACGCAGCGACGCCGCGUGAGGGAUGAAGGCCUUCGGGUUGUAAACCUCUUUCAGCAGGGACGAACACAGACGGUACCUGCAGAAGAAGCACCGGCCAACUACGUGCCAGCAGUCGCGGUAAUACGUAGGGUGCAAGCGUUGUCCGGAAUUAUUGGGCGUAAAGAGCUCGUAGGCGGUCUGUCACGUUGGCUGUGAAAACUUGGGGCUCAACCCCAAGCCUGCAGUGGAUACGGGCAGACUAGAGUGCGGUAGGGGAGACUGGAAUUCCUGGUGUACCGGUGAAAUGCCACAUAUCAGGAGGAACACCGGUGGCAAAGCGGGUUUUGGGCCCUACUGACCCUGAGAACCAAACGUGGGANCAACCNGAUGGAUACCUGGUANUUUG